AGCUCCAGUAGCGUAUAUUAAAGUUGUUGCAGUUAAAAAGCUCGUAGUUGGAUUUCUGGUUUUAGUCGCCCGUCCCACCGGCGUUAGUCGUGUGUGUGUCGUUGGUGUUUACUUGACCAUCUGCUCAUCUCGCCAGUCGUACCCUUAAUUGGGCCGCGGUUCUGUGCGGUUGAGCCAUUUACUUUGAAAAAAUUAGAGUGUUUAAGGCAGGCAAUUGCUGUGAAUACAUUAGCAUGGAAUAAUAACAUAGGACUUUUGUUCUAUUUUGUUGGUUUCCUGAACGGAAGUAAUGAUUGAUAGGGACAGUUGGGGGUGCUAGUAUUCCGUGGCCAGAGGUGAAAUUCUUGGAUUCACGGAAGACUAACUUAUGCGAAAGCAUUCACCAAGGAUGUCUUCUUUA
This 400-nucleotide ribosomal RNA is filed under the name phytoplankton environmental sample. Its description in RNAcentral is "partial small subunit ribosomal RNA". It matches the Rfam family "Eukaryotic small subunit ribosomal RNA", at positions 587 to 975 of the family's 1831-position model. The record is from RNAcentral.